UGGAGAGUUGGACUAAAUCUCAAGAUCCCUUCAAGUCUAAAGAAGAUUCUACAAAUACUAACAACCACAAAAUGAAAGGAACGCAAGUCCAGUGGUGGAUUUUUUGCAGACUUUAGCAGGUUCUGGCACCAUGCUUACCCCUCAGGAAUGUGCUGGAUGAUUCUACCAAUAUUUGUGGUAAAGGAAUGUGAUUCAUGAAAGGAUGAACCUCCCUAGAAGGCUUGGUAAGCUCAAGGAUGCUCUCACACUUCUUCAAGGGGAGGAAAAGACAUGUAUUGUCACACUUGGUGUGCUGAGUUCCCCCGCUGUCUUUUAUGCUUGACUAGUAACAAGGUGGCCCACAUUAUACAACCACCAGCAAAUGGACUCUGUCUCCUGGACUUAACAGCCUGAAGUUUCUGCCAGAUUCACCCAUCAGAAAUAAUUUCUUAUUUAAAGCAAAUGUCAACAAUUCUCUAUUGAAGCUAAUAUCGUGAACUUGCAAAUGGAUGAAGACAAACUGAGGCACAGGAGAUUAAGUAAUUUUUCCAAAGAUUCAGAAAUAGAAAAUGACAGAACUUGGCUCCUUAACCACUAUGUAUUCUGACUACCUCCAACAAAUUGGAAGAUGGUGGCUUUUAGGGAACAAAGUUUGUCAUCCUGAUACACCAGGUCUUUAAUGAUGUCAAUAAAGAAACAACCCACCCUUUGGUUAAAAGACUCUGAGCCUUCAAGGACCACUGGUUGUCCAGAGGAAGCCAUGGUUAUUCUGGUGAAGCACGAGGCCACGGUUGUUUUGAUCAGCCACUCAAUGGAGGGUCCAAAGCUUAAGCAGAAUAAACUCAGGACAGACAGCACUGGAACUCUAGGAGUGUAACCUCACCAGCAGAUGAAAUUUGUUUUUACUGAUCUUUGACACCUGCCUGAGGUGCUACAAAUCUGCAUGUUUGUUUAAACUCCAACCAAACGCACUCAUAUUUAAGUUGGAAUAUCAUCACCAGGAUGUCUGGAAAUUCUUC
This is a non-coding RNA of Kogia breviceps (pygmy sperm whale), 998 nucleotides long. The record is from RefSeq and is a predicted model, not a curated record. Lineage: Eukaryota; Metazoa; Chordata; Mammalia; Artiodactyla; Physeteridae.